AUUUAUAAGAAUAUGAUGUUGGUUCAGAUUAAGCGCUAAAUAAGGACAUGACACAUGCGAAUCAUACGUUUAUUAUUGAUAAGAUAAUAAAUAUGUGGUGUAAACGUGAGUAAUUUUAUUAGGAAUUAAUGAACUAUAGAAUAAGCUAAAUACUUAAUAUAUUAUUAUAAAAAAAUAAUUUAUAUAAUAAAAAGGAUAUAUAUAUAAUAUAUAUUUAUCUAUAGUCAAGCCAAUAAUGGUUUAGGUAGUAGGUUUAUUAAGAGUUAAACCUAGCCAACGAUCCAUAAUCGAUAAUGAAAGUUAGAACGAUCACGUUGACUCUGAAAUAUAGUCAAUAUCUAUAAGAUACAGCAGUGAGGAAUAUUGGACAAUGAUCGAAAGAUUGAUCCAGUUACUUAUUAGGAUGAUAUAUAAAAAUAUUUUAUUUUAUUUAUAAAUAUUAAAUAUUUAUAAUAAUAAUAAUAAUAAUAUAUAUAUAUAAAUUGAUUAAAAAUAAAAUCCAUAAAUAAUUAAAAUAAUGAUAUUAAUUACCAUAUAUAUUUUUAUAUGGAUAUAUAUAUUAAUAAUAAUAUUAAUUUUAUUAUUAUUAAUAAUAUAUUUUAAUAGUCCUGACUAAUAUUUGUGCCAGCAGUCGCGGUAACACAAAGAGGGCGAGCGUUAAUCAUAAUGGUUUAAAGGAUCCGUAGAAUGAAUUAUAUAUUAUAAUUUAGAGUUAAUAAAAUAUAAUUAAAGAAUUAUAAUAGUAAAGAUGAAAUAAUAAUAAUAAUUAUAAGACUAAUAUAUGUGAAAAUAUUAAUUAAAUAUUAACUGACAUUGAGGGAUUAAAACUAGAGUAGCGAAACGGAUUCGAUACCCGUGUAGUUCUAGUAGUAAACUAUGAAUACAAUUAUUUAUAAUAUAUAUUAUAUAUAAAUAAUAAAUGAAAAUGAAAGUAUUCCACCUGAAGAGUACGUUAGCAAUAAUGAAACUCAAAACAAUAGACGGUUACAGACUUAAGCAGUGGAGCAUGUUAUUUAAUUCGAUAAUCCACGACUAACCUUACCAUAUUUUGAAUAUUAUAAUAAUUAUUAUAAUUAUUAUAUUACAGGCGUUACAUUGUUGUCUUUAGUUCGUGCUGCAAAGUUUUAGAUUAAGUUCAUAAACGAACAAAACUCCAUAUAUAUAAUUUUAAUUAUAUAUAAUUUUAUAUUAUUUAUUAAUAUAAAGAAAGGAAUUAAGACAAAUCAUAAUGAUCCUUAUAAUAUGGGUAAUAGACGUGCUAUAAUAAAAUGAUAAUAAAAUUAUAUAAAAUAUAUUUAAUUAUAUUUAAUUAAUAAUAUAAAACAUUUUAAUUUUUAAUAUAUUUUUUUAUUAUAUAUUAAUAUGAAUUAUAAUCUGAAAUUCGAUUAUAUGAAAAAAGAAUUGCUAGUAAUACGUAAAUUAGUAUGUUACGGUGAAUAUUCUAACUGUUUCGCACUAAUCACUCAUCACGCGUUGAAACAUAUUAUUAUCUUAUUAUUUAUAUAAUAUUUUUUAAUAAAUAUUAAUAAUUAUUAAUUUAUAUUUAUUUAUAUCAGAAAUAAUAUGAAUUAAUGCGAAGUUGAAAUACAGUUACCGUAGGGGAACCUGCGGUGGGCUUAUAAAUAUC
RNAcentral lists this non-coding RNA (1627 nucleotides) under Saccharomyces cerevisiae (brewer's yeast). Its description in RNAcentral is "ribosomal RNA". It matches the Rfam family "Bacterial small subunit ribosomal RNA". The record is from RNAcentral. Lineage: Eukaryota; Fungi; Ascomycota; Saccharomycetes; Saccharomycetales; Saccharomycetaceae.